Molecule: ribosomal RNA, 497 nt
Filed under: uncultured bacterium
Lineage: Bacteria
Description: partial 16S ribosomal RNA
Rfam family: Bacterial small subunit ribosomal RNA
Source: RNAcentral
GAUGAACGCUGGCGGCGUGCCUAAUACAUGCAAGUCGAGCGAACGGACGAGAAGCUUGCUUCUCUGAUGUUAGCGGCGGACGGGUGAGUAACACGUGGAUAACCUACCUAUAAGACUGGGAUAACUUCGGGAAACCGGAGCUAAUACCGGAUAAUAUUUUGAACCGCAUGGUUCAAAAGUGAAAGACGGUCUUGCUGUCACUUAUAGAUGGAUCCGCGCUGCAUGAGCUAGUUGGUAAGGUAACGGCUUACCAAGGCAACGAUGCAUAGCCGACCUGAGAGGGGGAUCGGCCACACUGGAACUGAGACACGGUCCAGACUCCUACGGGAGGCAGCAGUAGGGAAUCUUCCGCAAUGGGCGAAAGCCUGACGGAGCAACGCCGCGUGAGUGAUGAAGGUCUUCGGAUCGUAAAACUCUGUUAUUAGGGAAGAACAUAUGUGUAAGUAACUGUGCACAUCUUGACGGUACCUAAUCAGAAAGCCACGGCUAACUACGUG